CGUGGAGGAUGAAGGUCUUCGGAUUGUAAACUCCUGUCAUUUGAGAACAAGUGACGUUUAGUAACUAUGGACGUCUUGAUAGUAUCAGAAGAGGAAGAGGCGGCUAACUCUGUGCCAGCAGCCGCGGUAAUACAGAGGCCUCAAGCGUUGUUCGGAUUCAUUGGGCGUAAAGGGUGCGUAGGCGGUCGGGUAAGUCGGGUGUGAAAUCCUGGGGCUCAACCUCAGAACUGCAUUCGAUACUGCUUGGCUAGAGGACUGGAGAGGAGAUUGGAAUUCACGGUGUAGCAGUGAAAUGCGUAGAUAUCGUGAGGAAGACCAGCGGCGAAGGCGGCUCUCUGGACAUAUCUGACGCUGAUGCUCGAAGGCCAGGGGAGCAAACGGGAUUAGAUACCCCGGUAGUCCUGGCAGUAAACGGUGCACGCUUGGUUUGAGAGGAUUCGACCCCUUCUGUGCCGGAGCUAACGCGUUAAGCGUGCCGCCUGGGGAGUACGAUCGCAAGAUUAAAACUCAAAGAAAUUGACGGGGGCCCGCACAAGCGGUGGAGUAUGUGGCUUAAUUCGAUGCAACGCGAAGAACCUUACCUGGCCUUGACAUGCAUCUCUAAGUUGGUGAAAGCCAGCGAGUGUAGCAAUACACGAAUUUGCACAGGUGCUGCAUGGCUGUCGUCAGCUCGUGUCGUGAGAUGUUGGGUUAAGUCCCGCAACGAGCGCAACCCCUGUGAACUGUUGCCACCGGCCGCAAGGCCGAGCACUCUGUUCAGACUGCCCUGUGAAACGGGGAGGAAGGUGGGGAUGACGUCAAGUCAGCAUGGCCCUUACGGCCAGGGCUGCACACGUACUACAAUGCCCGGUACAGAAGGAACCGAAACCGCGAGGUGGAGGAAAUCACUAAAACCGGGCUCAGUUCGGAUUGGAGGCUGCAACUCGCCUCCAUGAAGCUGGAAUCGCUAGUAAUGCCGUAUCAGCUACG
This 969-nucleotide ribosomal RNA is filed under the name uncultured bacterium. RNAcentral describes it as "bacterial SSU rRNA". It matches the Rfam family "Bacterial small subunit ribosomal RNA", at positions 400 to 1359 of the family's 1533-position model. The record is from RNAcentral.